AUGAAGGUCUUAGGAUUGUAAAAUUCUUUCACCGGGGACGAUAAUGACGGUACCCGGAGAAGAAGCCCCGGCUAACUUCGUGCCAGCAGCCGCGGUAAUACGAAGGGGGCUAGCGUUGCUCGGAAUUACUGGGCGUAAAGGGCGCGUAGGCGGAUCGUUAAGUCAGAGGUGAAAUCCCAGGGCUCAACCCUGGAACUGCCUUUGAUACUGGCGAUCUUGAGUAUGAGAGAGGUAUGUGGAACUCCGAGUGUAGAGGUGAAAUUCGUAGAUAUUCGGAAGAACACCAGUGGCGAAGGCGACAUACUGGCUCAUUACUGACGCUGAGGCGCGAAAGCGUGGGGAGCAAACAGGAUUAGAUACCCUGGUAGUCCACGCCGUAAACGAUGAUUGCUAGUUGUCGGGCUGCAUGCAGUUCGGUGACGCAGCUAACGCAUUAAGCAAUCCGCCUGGGGAGUACGGUCGCAAGAUUAAAACUCAAAGAAAUUGACGG
RNAcentral lists this ribosomal RNA (490 nucleotides) under Brevundimonas sp. S3. Its description in RNAcentral is "bacterial SSU rRNA". It matches the Rfam family "Bacterial small subunit ribosomal RNA", at positions 408 to 916 of the family's 1533-position model. RNAcentral also lists the same sequence under 1 other name. The record is from RNAcentral. Lineage: Bacteria; Pseudomonadati; Pseudomonadota; Alphaproteobacteria; Caulobacterales; Caulobacteraceae.